Molecule: long non-coding RNA, 739 nt
Organism: Armigeres subalbatus
Lineage: Eukaryota; Metazoa; Arthropoda; Insecta; Diptera; Culicidae
Exons: 3
Source: RefSeq, a predicted model, not a curated record
CAAAGAGCCAUCGGUUAUUCCUGCGCGAUUGGUACCGGUAACCGGCUUCAUACCGCCAUCGCGUCGUCGGAAAAAGUUUUCUGGCAAACGCACGAGGUGCAAAAAGUGCUUUAGCAAGCGAGUGGCGAAAAGUGAUUCGGGGGGAGUGCGGCGCAGAUCCCGACCGCUAGGAAAAGCACUAGUGCAGAUCCAGACCGCCAGAAAAAGCACUCGAGCAAAUCCCGACCGCUAGGAAACGCACUCAGAGAUUCGAGCGUUUGCUUCGUAGAAACGUGUGAAAACCACCCCUUCUUCCGUUCGGCAGAAGCAAUUUUCCAUCCAUUCCGGUGGACCAAAGCCGCCAAGAGCAUUCGUCGAUUUGAACAGGUUUCAGCGGACAGAAGAACUCCAUUCCGAAGAUUUGACGAAGACGGUUCCCGUGACACAGCAAACGACGACGACCUGUCGCCUCGGAGGGACCCCAUCCAGCAACCCGGUCGUACUGGACGGCCAGAGGGGUCUCCAGCAGAGGAGUAUCGGCGGUGCGAACAUCGAGAGUGGCAGGCGAGACUCGCGGCGGCGAGAUGAUCGCAGCACAGGCGAAACGUAGGGGGACGCCCCGUUAGGUGGUACCGUGAGUACUGAACAAAUUAGUUUGUAAGAUGGAAGAAGUAGAGAAGAAGAAGUAAGACGAAGAGAGUAGGGAUGAGAAGGCAGUGAGAGGAAGAUUAGGGCAAUAUAUAUAUAUGUAUUGAUUUGA